UUGGGUUAUUGCCAUUGCAUGUACAGCAAAUGGUUGGCACCAACCAUUGACUAUUGGCAGCCACCAUUUUCAAUGGUUAGGCAACCUACCAUGCCUAACCUUGCAGCCAUGUUUGACAGCAGAACAAGUGGAGCAGCUGCCAUGAAAUGCCUAUAAAUAGAGGCAUUAUGUGAGAAGCAAAAUGAGAGGAGUGAAAACGUGAGUGUGUGUAAGAGAGUGGAGAGAAAGAGAGCUGCAAUGACAGCAGCCUUGCUGCCAUUGCAGCAGCUGCAAGUGCAGCAUUAAGAGCUGGGAGUUGAGAGAGUGAAGUGAUCCUCCUCCUCCAUAUAUAUUGUAAUCCUUUCUCUAUAUAUCUCAAUAAUAUAGACUCUCCCGUGGAUGUAGGCGGAUUUGCCGAACUACGUAAAAUAUUAUCUCA
This is a long non-coding RNA of Populus trichocarpa (black cottonwood), 418 nucleotides long. RefSeq lists it as uncharacterized. The record is from RefSeq and is a predicted model, not a curated record. The transcript is spliced from 2 exons. NCBI's taxonomy places the organism in Eukaryota, Viridiplantae, Streptophyta, Magnoliopsida, Malpighiales, Salicaceae.